This is a long non-coding RNA of Octopus sinensis (East Asian common octopus), 148 nucleotides long. RefSeq lists it as uncharacterized. The record is from RefSeq and is a predicted model, not a curated record. Lineage: Eukaryota; Metazoa; Mollusca; Cephalopoda; Octopoda; Octopodidae. The transcript is spliced from 3 exons.
UUUAGCUCCUUCAGACUAUCGUCUCUUUGGCCCCAUGGAAGAGGGUUUGAGAAGCAAACAUUAUUCCAGUGAUGAGGAAGUGAAAACUGUAGUGAAGAAGUGGCUCAAAGAACAGUCAACAGAAUUUUACGGAGUAGGGAUACAUGUU